RNAcentral lists this non-coding RNA (87 nucleotides) under Agrilus planipennis (emerald ash borer). Lineage: Eukaryota; Metazoa; Arthropoda; Insecta; Coleoptera; Buprestidae. The record is from RNAcentral.
GUGUUGUAUGAAAGGAGAGACGGUUAGCACUCCCCUUGGCAAGGAUGGAACACAAAUACGGUUAAGGCACCUUAACCAAAAUUUUUU